Molecule: ribosomal RNA, 223 nt
Filed under: uncultured bacterium
Lineage: Bacteria
Description: partial 16S ribosomal RNA
Rfam family: Bacterial small subunit ribosomal RNA
Source: RNAcentral
CGUAGGUAACCUGCCUGGUAGCGGGGGAUAACUAUUGGAAACGAUAGCUAAUACCGCAUAACAGUAGAUAUCGCAUGAUAUUUGCUUGAAAGGUGCAAUUGCACCACUACCAGAUGGACCUGCGUUGUAUUAGCUAGUUGGUGAGGUAACGGCUCACCAAGGCAACGAUACGUAGCCGACCUGAGAGGGUGAUCGGCCACACUGGGACUGAGACACGGCCCAG